Molecule: ribosomal RNA, 462 nt
Filed under: uncultured bacterium
Lineage: Bacteria
Description: partial 16S ribosomal RNA
Rfam family: Bacterial small subunit ribosomal RNA
Source: RNAcentral
GACGAACGCUGGCGGCGUGCUUAACACAUGCAAGUCGAACGGUAAGGCCUUUCGGGGUACACGAGUGGCGAACGGGUGAGUAACACGUGGGUGAUCUGCCCUGCACUUCGGGAUAAGCCCGGGAAACUGGGUCUAAUACCGGAUAGGACUGCGCGGUGCAUGCCGUGUGGUGGAAAGAUUUAUCGGUGCAGGAUGGGCCCGCGGCCUAUCAGCUUGUUGGUGGGGUAAUGGCCUACCAAGGCGACGACGGGUAGCCGGCCUGAGAGGGCGACCGGCCACACUGGGACUGAGACACGGCCCAGACUCCUACGGGAGGCAACAGUGGGGAAUAUUGCACAAUGGGCGCAAGCCUGAUGCAGCGACGCCGCGUGAGGGAUGACGGCCUUCGGGUUGUAAACCUCUUUCAGCAGGGACGAAGCGUGAGUGACGGUACCUGCAGAAGAAGCACCGGCCAACUACGUG